AAUAAAUGGGUCUGUGAUGGACUUAGCAGAGUCAACCACUCUGGAGCUUGAUGCGUUCCUGUACAUUGAAAGUAUUGCAUUAGUCCAGAAAGGCCACUUGCCACAGCACAUCUCACUGAGCAUCUCACUAAAAGGACCUUGGGCUCAACUCGUCCACGCUGGCCAAGAUGUCCAUCUAAACUAAUCCUAUUUGCCCUCAUUUGACCCAUAGCCCUCUAAACUUUUUCCACCCAUGUACCUGUACAACUGUCUUUUAAAUGUUACUGUACCUCCCUUAACCACUCAUCUGGUAGCUUGUUUCAUACAUUUUCCAAUGUCUAUAGACUCUGGAUCA
Long non-coding RNA from Amblyraja radiata (thorny skate), 334 nucleotides. RefSeq lists it as uncharacterized. NCBI's taxonomy places the organism in Eukaryota, Metazoa, Chordata, Chondrichthyes, Rajiformes, Rajidae. The transcript is spliced from 3 exons. The record is from RefSeq and is a predicted model, not a curated record.